GCCUGAGUGGCUCAGUCGGUUAAGUGUCUGACUUCAACUCAGGUCACGAUCUCUCGCUUCAUGGGUUCGAGUCCCGUGUCGGGCU
RNAcentral lists this transfer RNA (85 nucleotides) under Felis catus (domestic cat). It matches the Rfam family "tRNA". Rfam says of the family: Transfer RNA (tRNA) molecules are approximately 80 nucleotides in length. Their secondary structure includes four short double-helical elements and three loops (D, anti-codon, and T loops). The record is from Rfam by way of RNAcentral. Lineage: Eukaryota; Metazoa; Chordata; Mammalia; Carnivora; Felidae.